This is a non-coding RNA of Vicugna pacos (alpaca), 891 nucleotides long. The record is from RefSeq and is a predicted model, not a curated record. NCBI's taxonomy places the organism in Eukaryota, Metazoa, Chordata, Mammalia, Artiodactyla, Camelidae.
CGUGUUCUCUUCCGAUUUGAGAAGCACUGCUCUAGACAACAAUCAUGAAGUGGGGGAGGCUGUUUAAAGAGUAAGAUUCACUGAGGUCAUCGGUUUGGUUGGGAAGAGGAUGGAGACAGUAAACAAUUUUAGAAUUUCUUAGAAAAAUCUGUUGCAGAAUAUGUAUGUUAAAAAUCUAAAGAUGCCUAGUAGACACUAGAAAUAAUAAAGGUUUUUAAUUAGCAGAGAAAGAAAAUGAGAAUAUACAGAGUAGAAAACUUUGUCAACUUGGUAGGAAUCAGACAAGGAAAGCACAAAAGAAAACAAAUGGUGAACAGAAACAUAUGGUGCAGCUGUAAAAGUCAGUCCAUAUAUACUUGUAAUCACAGUCAUUGCACGUGGAUAGCAUAUCUGGGAUUGAAAUAUUUCAUAAAGGAUUACAAAAUGCUGAAGCAACAAGGCUUUGAGAACAGGAUUGUAUUUUAAGAAUUUGUGUUCUAUACGGAAGAGGAAAGGUUAUACUUGUGAAGCAAAAAGGAAGCAUGUUUUAGACAGUGAAUCAAAUUUUGGUUGACCAGUUCUUUAGCAUUCUUGUUUUUCUACAUUAGCUGUAACCAGAAACACAUUUAUUAUUCCUUCUGAUGAUUAUGUUGCUGUUAAUCCUUCUUCUGUCCACUUUAAAGUGUCUUCAGCCACUGUGGGUCUAAAAGCUGAACUUCAGUUUGCUCAGAACUUUUGCCUCUUUGUUUAUCUGCUUCUCAAAAAGGCUUUACUCAUUUCUGUUGUUUUUAGGAACCUGGUAAAUCUCUCAACUAUUUACUACAUUGGACUAGUAGUUCAGUCUCACUGCCAGGAGUAUAUUUGGAAACUAUUUACUACACUUGAAAAUCUUUGACUAAAAUAUACACCGUG